Molecule: long non-coding RNA, 775 nt
Filed under: Danio rerio (zebrafish)
Lineage: Eukaryota; Metazoa; Chordata; Actinopteri; Cypriniformes; Danionidae
Description: si:dkey-17m8.3 (ENSDARG00000091144.5)
Source: RNAcentral
GCUCAUGAUGCGUCUUUUUGCAAAUUGUUAGCCCUAACUCUUUAGCGAAUUUUUCUUCAGUAUGCCACGAAAAAAGACGAUUUCUUUGACGAGGAACUGCCCCCAACGCAGCGAAGCUGAAGCUGACCUCUUGAGUGAAGAACCACCUGAAUCAUCCCAAAAAAUUCAUAAAGUACACCAUGAUAAAGACGAUGACAAUGACCUUUCUGUUGUUGCGGUGGAAACCAUAACUCCAGAACCAGGACAAGAUGAUGGGUCUUCCUCUAUGGUGGAAAAAGACAAGCUGAUGCUCAUGGCCCAGACAAUACAAACACUUAAACAGGAACGAGAUUUUCUCCGCCAAACUGUCCUAAAAUUGUCAAACAGAGGGGCAAAAAAAGUAAAGAAAGUCUUGGACACAAGCACUGAAUGCAGCACCAGUAACACUGAUGAGGAGUCCAUGACUUCUUCCUCCUCUUCAGAUUCACCUGAUAGUGAUAUUCCUCGGAAGAAGAGAAAGAGUCAUAAGAAGACAAAGAGGGCCAGCAGGUCAAAAUCUACCAAGCACAGCACACGUGCUUUUAUCUUUCUACAGCAACAACCCCUGAUGACGUACUAAGGCGGUACAACAAAGUUUUCAAUGCCUAUAAAAAAGAAGGGAGCAUUAGUAAAGCAUGUGCCAAAGUUGGGGUUGACCGUAAUACUCUCGCAUUAACAGCUGUUGUGGCUGAAAUUCAGCUUGUUGAUGCUGAGUUUUACAGAAGCAUCCCUAAAUUCAGAACCGAGGAGAAACUUU